GGGAAUAUUGGACAAUGGGCGAAAGCCUGAUCCAGCCAUGCCGCGUGUGUGAAGAAGGUCUUCGGAUUGUAAAGCACUUUAAGUUGGGAGGAAGGGUUGUAGAUUAAUACUCUGCAAUUUUGACGUUACCGACAGAAUAAGCACCGGCUAACUCUGUGCCAGCAGCCGCGGUAAUACAGAGGGUGCAAGAGUUAAUCGGAAUUACUGGGCGUAAAGCGCGCGUAGGUGGUUCGUUAAGUUGGAUGUGAAAGCCCCGGGCUCAACCUGGGAACUGCAUUCAAAACUGACGAGCUAGAGUAUGGUAGAGGGUGGUGGAAUUUCCUGUGUAGCGGUGAAAUGCGUAGAUAUAGGAAGGAACACCAGUGGCGAAGGCGACCACCUGGACUGAUACUGACACUGAGGUGCGAAAGCGUGGGGAGCAAACAGG
Molecule: ribosomal RNA, 427 nt
Filed under: uncultured bacterium
Lineage: Bacteria
Description: bacterial SSU rRNA
Rfam family: Bacterial small subunit ribosomal RNA
Source: RNAcentral